AACGCACCUUGCGCUCUUUGGUAUUCCGAAGAGCAUGCCUGUUCGAGUGUUAUUAAAUUCUCAAACCAAUAGCUUUAUUGUCUAUUGGCUUUGGACUUUGAGGGUUGUUGGUGCAAAUCGACUCCCUUUAAAUAUAUUAGCUGGCAUUGACUGCCAGACUAUGGUGUGAUAAUUAUCUACGCUAUUGGUCUGACAUGUUGGCUGCUUCUAAUCGUCUUCGGACAACACUCUUUGAAAUUUAACCUCGAAUCAGGUAGGACUACCCGCUGAACUUAA
This 276-nucleotide unclassified non-coding RNA is filed under the name uncultured Agaricales. RNAcentral's name for it is "sequence contains ITS2". The record is from RNAcentral. Lineage: Eukaryota; Fungi; Basidiomycota; Agaricomycetes; Agaricales.